This 654-nucleotide ribosomal RNA is filed under the name Citrobacter freundii. RNAcentral's name for it is "partial 23S ribosomal RNA". It matches the Rfam family "Bacterial large subunit ribosomal RNA", at positions 582 to 1238 of the family's 2925-position model. Lineage: Bacteria; Pseudomonadati; Pseudomonadota; Gammaproteobacteria; Enterobacterales; Enterobacteriaceae. The record is from RNAcentral.
UCUUUAUGGGGUGACUGCGUACCUUUUGUAUAAUGGGUCAGCGACUUAUAUUCUGUAGCAAGGUUAACCGUAUAGGGGAGCCGAAGGGAAACCGAGUCUUAACUGGGCGUUAAGUUGCAGGGUAUAGACCCGAAACCCGGUGAUCUAGCCAUGGGCAGGUUGAAGGUUGGGUAACACUAACUGGAGGACCGAACCGACUAAUGUUGAAAAAUUAGCGGAUGACUUGUGGCUGGGGGUGAAAGGCCAAUCAAACCGGGAGAUAGCUGGUUCUCCCCGAAAGCUAUUUAGGUAGCGCCUCGUGAAUUCAUCUUCGGGGGUAGAGCACUGUUUCGGCUAGGGGGUCAUCCCGACUUACCAACCCGAUGCAAACUGCGAAUACCGAAGAAUGUUAUCACGGGAGACACACGGCGGGUGCUAACGUCCGUCGUGAAGAGGGAAACAACCCAGACCGCCAGCUAAGGUCCCAAAGUCAUGGUUAAGUGGGAAACGAUGUGGGAAGGCACAGACAGCCAGGAUGUUGGCUUAGAAGCAGCCAUCAUUUAAAGAAAGCGUAAUAGCUCACUGGUCGAGUCGGCCUGCGCGGAAGAUGUAACGGGGCUAAACCAUGCACCGAAGCUGCGGCAGCGACACUAUGUGUUGUUGGGUAGGGGAGCG